RNAcentral lists this ribosomal RNA (207 nucleotides) under uncultured bacterium. RNAcentral describes it as "partial 16S ribosomal RNA". It matches the Rfam family "Bacterial small subunit ribosomal RNA", at positions 568 to 774 of the family's 1533-position model. The record is from RNAcentral.
CGCGUAGGCGGUUCGUUAAGUUGCUGGUGAAAUCCCGGGGCUCAACUCCGGGGCUGCCGGCAAGACUGGCGGGCUAGAGCACGGUAGAAGCGGAUGGAAUUCCCGGUGUAGCGGUGGAAUGCGUAGAUAUCGGGAAGAAUACCGGUGGCGAAGGCGUUCCGCUGGGCCGUUGCUGACGCUGAGGCGCGACAGCGUGGGGAGCAAACA